RNAcentral lists this ribosomal RNA (468 nucleotides) under uncultured bacterium. RNAcentral describes it as "partial 16S ribosomal RNA". It matches the Rfam family "Bacterial small subunit ribosomal RNA", at positions 28 to 507 of the family's 1533-position model. The record is from RNAcentral.
GACGAACGCUGGCGGCGUGCUUAACACAUGCAAGUCGAACGGAAAGGCCCUGCUUUUGUGGGGUGCUCGAGUGGCGAACGGGUGAGUAACACGUGAGUAACCUGCCCUUGACUUUGGGAUAACUUCAGGAAACUGGGGCUAAUACCGGAUAGGAGCUCCUGCUGCAUGGGGGGGGUUGGAAAGUUUCGGCGGUUGGGGAUGGACUCGCGGCUUAUCAGCUUGUUGGUGGGGUAGUGGCUUACCAAGGCUUUGACGGGUAGCCGGCCUGAGAGGGUGACCGGCCACAUUGGGACUGAGAUACGGCCCAGACUCCUACGGGAGGCAGCAGUGGGGAAUAUUGCACAAUGGGCGGAAGCCUGAUGCAGCAACGCCGCGUGCGGGAUGACGGCCUUCGGGUUGUAAACCGCUUUCGCCUGUGACGAAGCGUGAGUGACGGUAAUGGGUGAAGAAGCACCGGCUAACUACGUG